This 657-nucleotide ribosomal RNA is filed under the name Steccherinum aurantilaetum. Its description in RNAcentral is "eukaryotic LSU rRNA". The stretch from base 241 to 394 matches the Rfam family "5.8S ribosomal RNA". The record is from RNAcentral. Lineage: Eukaryota; Fungi; Basidiomycota; Agaricomycetes; Polyporales; Steccherinaceae.
UUGGGAAGUAAAAAGUCGUAACAAGGUUUCCGUAGGUGAACCUGCGGAAGGAUCAUUAUCGAGUUCUGAAACGGGUUGUAGCUGGCCUUACGGGGCAUGUGCACACUCGGCUCAUCCACUCUACCCCUGUGCACUCUUUGUAGGUUGGCCUCUGAGCCCUUUGGGUUUGGGGGUCUUCCUAUGUCACUCACAAACUCUUAAAGUAAAAGAAUGUCAUCUGCGAUAAUACGCAUCAUAUACAACUUUUAGCAACGGAUCUCUUGGCUCUCGCAUCGAUGAAGAACGCAGCGAAAUGCGAUAAGUAAUGUGAAUUGCAGAAUUCAGUGAAUCAUCGAAUCUUUGAACGCACCUUGCGCUCCUUGGUAUUCCGAGGAGCAUGCCUGUUUGAGUGUCGUGGAAUUCUCAACCCACUUGUCCUUGUGGCAAUUGUGGGCUUGGACUUGGAGGUCUAUGCUGGCUCAUUAUUGGGUCGGCUCCUCUUGAAUGCAUUAGCUUGAUUCCCUGCGGAUCGGCUCUCGGUGUGAUAAUUGUCUACGCCGUGACCGUGAAGCGUUUGGCAAGCUUCCAACCGUCCUGAUGGGACAACAUUAUAUCUUUUGACCUCAAAUCAGGUAGGACUACCCGCUGAACUUAAGCAUAUCAAUAAGCGGAGGAAUG